CCUACGGGAGGCUGCAGUGGGGAAUAUUGGACAAUGGGGGGAACCCUGAUCCAGCGACGCCGCGUGAGUGAAGAAGUAUUUCGGUAUGUAAAGCUCUAUCAGCAGGGGAGAAAGAAAUGACGGUACCUGACUAAGAAGCCCCGGCUAACUACGUGCCAGCAGCCGCGGUAAUACGUAGGGGGCAAGCGUUAUCCGGAUUUACUGGGUGUAAAGGGAGCGUAGACGGCGAUGCAAGUCUGAAGUGAAAGGCGGGGGCCCAACCCCCAGACUGCUUUGGAAACUGGAUGGCUGGAGUGCAGGGGAGGUAAGUGGAAUUCCUAGUGUAGCGGUGAAAUGCGUAGAUAUUAGGAGGAACACCAGUGGCGAAGGCGGCUUACUGGACUGUAACUGACGUUGAGGCUCGAAAGCGUGGGGAGCAAACAGGAUUAGAUACCCCUGUAGUC
Molecule: ribosomal RNA, 443 nt
Filed under: uncultured bacterium
Lineage: Bacteria
Description: partial 16S ribosomal RNA
Rfam family: Bacterial small subunit ribosomal RNA
Source: RNAcentral